CUAGGAGCUGAGCGUUUAUGGCCGCUUGGUCUUGACCUACAUCUCCCAUAUUUUCUGAAAAAGAAACUCAAAGAAAGAUCAAAGGUAAAAGGGUUUAAACAGAGGCUUGGGUCGGGUACUAGAGUAUCGACCAAGGCAAAGACAUAAAUGCGUAAUUAAAUUUGAAAAUCGAAUCAAGAUUAAAAGGAAAGUGGGAAUAUUUUUUUUUAAUUUUUUUUUUCGAAAACUUGGAAAGAAAGCAAAACUAAUUAAUUUUUUAUUUAUUUUUAAAUGCAAAAAUCAAAACUUGGAGAACAAUCCGAAAAAAUUCAAAAAAGGAAAGUAAAUAUAUUUUUUUUGAAGUGCGACGGCUAGGGUUCAGAAAGAACUUAGUUUCACAGGAAACUUCAGCUCUGAUACCAAAAUGUUGUAGGCACGGAUCGGGAUGAUCGGACGAUACGGACUGAGGGUUGCUGCGGUUCAGUCUCGGCUAGGCUGGACAGUUCUGGCUGGGUCUUCUCUUAUAUGCGGUUGUACCUGAAACAAAUAUGAACCUUUUUAUGAGUUUUCUACAAAGUUAAGAACAGAAACAGAGAGGCAAAUGGAUGAAUGAUAAAUAAGCAAGAUAUGAUUUUUAUGGGUUUUAAAAUAUAGAUGAAGGAAAUC
Molecule: long non-coding RNA, 645 nt
Filed under: Brassica rapa (field mustard)
Lineage: Eukaryota; Viridiplantae; Streptophyta; Magnoliopsida; Brassicales; Brassicaceae
Description: long non-coding RNA (BRAP_LNC008925)
Source: RNAcentral